Molecule: long non-coding RNA, 655 nt
Filed under: Mytilus galloprovincialis (Mediterranean mussel)
Lineage: Eukaryota; Metazoa; Mollusca; Bivalvia; Mytilida; Mytilidae
Source: RNAcentral
AAUAGGCCAGUGUCAUACUUUAGGAUGCAUGAGCUCUUUAUUGAAGUUUUCGGUCGUAUGUUCUUGAUAUUAAGUGUUAUGGGUUUCACAGUUUUAGGUCUGAAGGUGUUAGUGCUUGUGCUAAUUUAGGUUUAAAGUUUAUAGAGACACGGUAGAUGGUGUUCCAAAACGGCAAACGAUAUUAUCGUGAAGGAUUCUUUAGAUAAUUUCUGUAGCAUUAUUUUCAGAACUUUAUUGCAUAAUAUAGAUCACCUUUUUUAAAAUUUUCCCGUUCUUUGUGUUUUCGGCCCUCGGAUCUGUCGUGUGGUAUUGCACUUCACUCUUUUUUGUUAUUUAUUAGUAUGAUUAUUAUCAGUGGUUGUGAUAUAUUGGUGUUAACGGAAGAAGAAAUAUAAUUUUAGUCGGUUGAUUUUAUGAAUUAGAAUGAAAUUAUUUUCUUCUGAAUUGUCUGCCCAUAGAUGGCGUUUGGGUUAAGUGGUUUGUGUGAUUUGGCGCUUAAAUCAUUCGGUACGACAGGGUCUACUCGAUAGGUCACGUUAAUUUUUACAUCCAUGCUAUUUGAUAUUUUGUAUCAUGCAUUAAGAUAUUGAUUGUUUACAAAUGAUUGUGGGUAUUGAAAUACUAGUGUAUAAAUAUAUAUCUAGCGGGAAGGCUA